RNAcentral lists this ribosomal RNA (274 nucleotides) under uncultured bacterium. Its description in RNAcentral is "partial 16S ribosomal RNA". It matches the Rfam family "Bacterial small subunit ribosomal RNA", at positions 523 to 796 of the family's 1533-position model. The record is from RNAcentral.
AUACGGAGGGUGCAAGCGUUAAUCGGAAUUACUGGGCGUAAAGCGCUCGUAGGCGGCUUGUUAAGUCGGAUGUGAAAGCCCCGGGCUCAACCUGGGAACUGCAUUCGAUACUGGCAAGCUAGAGUAUAGAAGAGGCAAGUGGAAUUCCAGGUGUAGCGGUGAAAUGCGUAGAUAUCUGGAGGAACAUCAGUGGCGAAGGCGACUUGCUGGUCUAAUACUGACGCUGAGGAGCGAAAGCGUGGGGAGCAAACGGGAUUAGAUACCCCAGUAGUCC